CCGCCAGAGAGCGCUGGAGUCGCUGCGUUGGCUCGUCCCUCCCUGGGGACGUCAGCAGGGGGCUCCGGAAGUGGCGGCGUUCGCCGUCCAUCAUGACUGCCUCAGGUCGGGCUGCGCGAGACCCCGAGGGGGGGGGGUCUUCGUUUCUUCGUUUCCGGGAAGCGCGGUGACCCGGGCGCGGCGCGGGAGUCGGGUCCCAGCGCGGCGCCGCGGCGUCCCCGGGCGCUUCCCGGCGGGCGCGCGGCCCACGCGGCAAGAUGGCGGCCGGGGAGGCGGCCCUCGGGGGCUCCGCCCGCGCUGGUGGGGCCGGGCCGGGCCGCGCCGCGGUGGGUUGGCCUUGGUGGCUCGUCGCGCCCCGUCGCGGGGCGUCUGGCUGCGUCCCCUCUCAGCUACCAGAGCCGCGGACAGCAGGGGACCUCUGUGGGCGCGGCCUGGCUUCCGGUUCUCCCGCCACGACACCAGGACGCGGAGGGGGACUUUCCCCGGGGACAUCUGCGACUCCCUGCGUUUAAAGCGGGGACGUACCGAUGGGGACGUGGGACGUGGAAGAUGUCACGCCCCGACGCGGUGUGGCCCCGGGGGAGGAACGAGGGGAGGGCGGUGCGCGGGUCCCCUCCUAGGGACAGGGCGGCCCGGGGAGGCCAUCGCCAUCAGGUGCUGACCACGGACCCCAGCCCCUCGGCCUGGCGCAGUCGGGAGCGCCAAGUGCCGUGCUGCUUGCUGUCACCUCUCAGUGCCACCUGUCCACGCCUAAACCCCCCCCCCUCGGGCCGGUGGCUCGUUUCUCCACCAGGAAAAUGGGUCCAUCCGAGGCGUCCCUCGGUUCCCGAAUAAAAGCUGUGCCGACCUGUGAGGGUUGUCCCUCGGCGGGUCCCUUGGUGCCCACGGGAACAGCUCCAAGGCUUACAGGACAGCGUAGCGCAGGGAGCUGGGCACAGAAGAUGCUGUCAUUUAUUUGCUCCUGGAGCUGGAACCCACGGCGGCUUGACCACUGGGCCACCUCCCCAGGCCUCUGUUUUUUUGUUGUUGUUGUUGUUGUUUUUUUGACUUUUGAUAAAUUGCUGAGGCUGGCCUCCAGCUUGGGAUCCUCCUGCCUCAGCCUCCCAAGUCGCUGGGAUUCGGGCAUGCGCCAUUGCGCCCUGAUCGUUCAUGUUAUUAAACAGUAAGACCCACGUAGGGCUGGGGCUCAGUGGUGGAGCGCUCACCUAGCACGUGUGAGGCACUGGGUUCCAUCCUCAGCGCCACAUGAAGGCAUCUAUGAGCUUUGUGUCGCAUACUAAGAAGAGGAAAGGGGGAUGGGAGGAAAUGGUACCAGGGAUUGAACUCGGGGGACACUCCACCCCUGAGCCCCAGCCCCAUCCCUGAUUUGUAUUUUACUUCGAGACAGCAGCUCCCUGAGUUGCUCAGGGCCUCGCCAAUGCUGAGGCUGGCUUUGAACUCACGAUCCUCCUGCCUCAGCCUCCCCAGCUGUUUGGAUUACAGGCCUGUGCCACUGGACCCGGCUUUCUUCCAAAAUAUUUGAAAAGAUGAAAUUCAGUUGGCAAGGAUAAAAGUUUCAAGGCCGCUCCUAUAGUGCUUGCUGCAAAGAACUGCAAAUUCCUAGCCUGAGCCCUCUGAGAAGCUAGAUGGAGUUAUUUGUGGGAAGAUAGAGGGUGGGCAAGAGAUUGAGCCUUGAAAAUAUUCAAGAUAUUUGUUGAUCAGAGGAAUGCUUUUCUGCUAGAAGUGCACAUAUUCUCAGUGACUUUUUCUGCUAGAAGUGCCCAUAUUGUAUCUUAGACUUUUAUGGUUAGUAUCAUGGGAACAGUAGUAGCAUUGAAUUAAACGAUUGAAUUAGAGUUUGAGCCAAGUCUUGCCUUGGAGUCAUCCAGAAAGGUAUUUCCAAUGCUUAAAAAAAUCAAAGCAGAGCUGGGGUUGUGGCUCAGGGCUAGGGUGCUCGCCUAGCAAGUGUGGGGCACUGGGUUCCAUCCUCAGCACCAAAUAAAAUAUUGUGUCCACUUAUAACUAAAAAAUAAAUAUGUUUUUAAAAACCAAAGCAGUUUCAGCAUUUAUUUUAUUUUCUUAUUUUUAUUUUUUGGUACUGGGGAUUGAACUCAGG
Molecule: long non-coding RNA, 2095 nt
Filed under: Marmota monax (woodchuck)
Lineage: Eukaryota; Metazoa; Chordata; Mammalia; Rodentia; Sciuridae
Source: RNAcentral